GACACUCUAGCCUGGGCAACAGAGUGAGACUCUAUCUCAAAAUAAAAAAUGAUCAUUUAUUUUAUGUCUCUUCACUCUCCCACUAAAAUAAGGUUCAUAACAACAGAGGGUUGUUUUUGUUUUUUGUUUUUUUAUCUGUUUUGUGCCUUGCUGUCUCUAAUUGUUUAGAAUAGGGCCUGGCAUAUAUUAAUUGUUGGUGCUAAAUAAGUAUUUGAUCAAUGAAUUUCCAAUAAUAGUUACCUUGUUGAAUCCUCAUUCUAAUUCUAAGCAUUAUACUUAGUAUUUUGUAUGCAUUAUCUCUUUAAAUUUCAAUAAUAAUCCAAUGAGAUAGACAUUCCUAAAUUUUAUAGAUGAGGAUGUAAAGUUUUACAGAGGCUAAAUAAAUUACUGAGGGUCACAGUAGGUAGAAUAAUCCCAGGUCUUCUGACUUCAGAGUGCAAGUUCUUGACCAUUUCUAAUAUAAUAGACUCUCCUCCCAGAAAAUGUUUAAGAUGAGACAACGUUUGUUUUAAUUAUGAUUUCCAUACCUGCUUGUAUGAAAAAAUUAAAUUACUUAUGAGCUUUAUCUAUAUCACUUGUAAUGUUAGUGGUAUUGGACAAGAUAGGCCUAAAAGGACCUUCCCUGUUAUGAAAUGAACAUAAUAAAUAUUGGAUAAUUAAUGGGAAUUACAGAAAAAACUAGGACUCAAAAGUUUUUAGAGGGAAUGAGGUGUAUGAUACAGUGUUAAUUUGUUAUGCCUUCACACUUGCCCCUGUUCAGUUGAAGAAGAGGAGGAGGAAGAAGUGAUAGAAGAAGAGGAGACAUCUGUGAAGAAAAAGAAGAAAAAGGAUAAAAAGAAACACAUUAAGGAAGAACCGCUUUCUGAGGAAGAGCCAUGUACCAGCACAGCAGUUCCUAGUCCAGAGAAAAAGAAGAAAAAGAAAAAAAAGAAAGAUAAUGAGGACUAAAAGAAGGGAACCAUGAUUGUAUCACCUGUACACAUCAUGCUUAAGAUUCAGUUGAGAGGAUGCCAGAGAUUCUCUCUUACAUAAUCCAGGGAAGGUUGAAUGAAACAAUGUGAUUAUUCAUCUAUAACUUUUAAGAAAACCUAUUUGUGUUUGCCAUUGACUCUGUUAACCUUAUUAUGUCAUCAUUUCUUAGAGUCUCUGAUAACAAAUAAAAUUUUCUUUGUAUUUUAA
This is a non-coding RNA of Microcebus murinus (gray mouse lemur), 1179 nucleotides long. The record is from RefSeq and is a predicted model, not a curated record. Lineage: Eukaryota; Metazoa; Chordata; Mammalia; Primates; Cheirogaleidae.